This 477-nucleotide ribosomal RNA is filed under the name Candidatus Scalindua brodae. RNAcentral describes it as "bacterial SSU rRNA". It matches the Rfam family "Bacterial small subunit ribosomal RNA", at positions 365 to 832 of the family's 1533-position model. Lineage: Bacteria; Pseudomonadati; Planctomycetota; Candidatus Brocadiia; Candidatus Brocadiales; Candidatus Scalinduaceae. RNAcentral also lists the same sequence under 1 other name. The record is from RNAcentral.
UUCGCAAUGCCCGAAAGGGUGACGAAGCGACGCCGCGUGGGUGAGGAAGGCCUUCGGGUUGUAAAGCCCUGUCAGGAGUUAAGAAAUGUAAGUGCGCUAAUAUCGCAUUUAUUUGACGAAGGCUCCAAAGGAAGUCACGGCUAACUCUGUGCCAGCAGCCGCGGUAAUACAGAGGUGGCAAGCGUUGUUCGGAAUUAUUGGGCGUAAAGAGCACGUAGGUGGGUUUGCAAGUCAGAUGUGAAAGCCUCCUGUUCAACGGGAGAAUUGCAUCUGAAACUGCAGAUCUUGAGUGUAGGAGGGGAGAAUGGAACUUCUGGUGGAGCGGUGAAAUGCGUAGAUAUCAGAAGGAACGCCGGCGGCGAAAGCGAUUCUCUGGCCUAUUACUGACACUCAGUGUGCGAAAGCUAGGGGAGCAAACGGGAUUAGAUACCCCGGUAGUCCUAGCCGUAAACGAUGGGCACUAAGUAGAGGGGUUUU